GAUGAACGCUGGCGGCGUGCCUAAUACAUGCAAGUCGAACGGACAGACGAGGAGCUUGCUCCUCUGACGUUAGCGGCGCACGGGUGAGUAACACGUGUAUAACCCACCUAUAAUACUGGGAUCACCUCGGGAAACCGGAGCUAAUACCGGAUAAUCUAUUGAACCGCAUGGUGCAAUAGUGAAAGACGGUUUUGCUGGCACUUCUAGCUGGUUCCGGGCCGCAUGAGCUGGUUGGUAAGGUAACGGCUUACCAAGGCGACGAUGCGUAGCCGACCUGAGAGGGUGAUCGGCCACACUGGAACUGAGACACGGUCAAGACUCCUACGGGAGGCAGCAGUAGGGAAUCUUCCGCAAUGGGCGAAAGCCUGACGGAGCAACGCCGCGUGAGUGAUGAAGGUCUUCGGAUCGUAAAGCUCUGUUAUUAGGGAAGAACAAAUGUGUAAGUAAAUAUGCACGUAUUGACGGUACCUAAUCAGAAAGCAACGGCUAACUACGUG
Molecule: ribosomal RNA, 497 nt
Filed under: uncultured bacterium
Lineage: Bacteria
Description: partial 16S ribosomal RNA
Rfam family: Bacterial small subunit ribosomal RNA
Source: RNAcentral